This 400-nucleotide long non-coding RNA is filed under the name Anser cygnoides (Swan goose). RNAcentral's name for it is "lncRNA (ENSACDG00005003613.1)". The record is from RNAcentral. Lineage: Eukaryota; Metazoa; Chordata; Aves; Anseriformes; Anatidae.
UCAUGCAAACUUCAUGUGAAUGUGCUGUGUCUUCAGGGCUGUUACAGGGCCAUGGUUUGGUCCUUGUCUAUCCUUACAGGCCUACACUUUUUUGCAAGAAAGUCACAGUGCCACGUGUGCUUGCUGAUUCAAUCUGGGAGGAGGACAGAGAGCAGACACAGUGGUGCCACUCCUUUUGCUGAACACCAGACAGGACCAUCAGACUGUAAGAGACCUGUCUUAAGAAAGAUGGAGGUGGCCCCCAUCUUCCUUCCACGUGCUGCUCUGCCAAGGUUUUCUCAUUCUGAUCAACAUCUCCAAGCUUGGGCUCAGUCUGCCAAUAUCUCCUGCCUCAUGAGUGAUAGCACUGCAGAGUGGAAUGGAUCACAUUCAAAAAGCUGGUCUGUACAAGCGUUUUAAG